GACGAACGCUGGCGGCGUGCUUAACACAUGCAAGUCGAACGAUGAAGCCUAGCUUGCUAGGUGGAUUAGUGGCGAACGGGUGAGUAAUACGUGAGUAACCUACCUUUAACUCUGGGAUAAGCCCGGGAAACUGGGUCUAAUACCGGAUACGACCAAUCUCCGCAUGGGGUGUUGGUGGAAAGCGUUAUGUAGUGGUUAUAGAUGGGCUCACGGCCUAUCAGCUUGUUGGUGAGGUAACGGCUCACCAAGGCAACGACGGGUAGCCGGCCUGAGAGGGUGACCGGCCACUCUGGGACUGAAACACGGCCCAGACUCCUACGGGAGGCAGCCGUGGGGAAUAUUGCACAAUGGGCGCAAGCCUGAUGCAACGACGCCGCGUGAGGGAUGACGGCCUUCGGGUUGUAAACCUCUGUUUGCAGGGAAGAAGAGAGAUUGACCGUGCCUGCGCAGAAAGUGCCGGCUAACUACGUGCCAGCAACCGCGGGAAUACGUUAGGCGCGCGAGCGUUGUCCGGAAUUAUUGGGCGUUAAAAACUUGUAAGCGGUUUGUCGCGUCUGCUGUGAAGGCCGGGGCUUAACUCCGUGUAUUGCAGUGGGUACGGGCAGACUAGAGUGCAGUAGGGGAGACUGGAAUUCCUGGUGUAGCGGUGGAAUGCGCAGAUAUCAGGAGGAACACCGAUGGCGAAGGCAGGUCUCUGGGCUGUAACUGACGCUGAGAAGCGAAAGCAUGGGGAGCGAACAGGAUUAGAUACCCUGGUAGUCCAUGCCGUAAACGUUGGGCACUAGGUGUGGGGGACAUUCCACGUUUUCCGCGCCGUAGCUAACACAUUAAGUGCCCCGCCUGGGGAGUACGGCCGCAAGGCUAAAACUCAAAGAAAUUGACGGGGGCCCGCACAAGCGGCGGAGCAUGCGGAUUAAUUCGAUGCAACGCGAAGAACCUUACCAAGGCUUGACAUAUACUGGACCGCAUCAGAGAUGGUGUUUCCCUUCGGGGCUGGUAUACAGGUGGUGCAUGGUUGUCGUCAGCUCGUGUCGUGAGAUGUUGGGUUAAGUCCCGCAACGAGCGCAACCCUCGUUCUAUGUUGCCAGCACGUUAUGGUGGGGGCUCAUAGGAGACUGCCGGGGUCAACUCGGAGGAAGGUGGGGAUGACGUCAAAUCAUCAUGCCCCUUAUGUCUUGGGCUUCACGCAUGCUACAAUGGCCGGUACAGAGGGUUGCGAUACUGUGAGGUGGAGCUAAUCCCUAAAAGCCGGUCUCAGUUCGGAUUGGGGUCUGCAACUCGACCCCAUGAAGUCGGAGUCGCUAGUAAUCGCAGAUCAGCAACGCUGCGGUGAAUACGAUCCCGGGCCU
Molecule: ribosomal RNA, 1349 nt
Filed under: uncultured bacterium
Lineage: Bacteria
Description: bacterial SSU rRNA
Rfam family: Bacterial small subunit ribosomal RNA
Source: RNAcentral